UAAGGGACCAUCUUGGUUGAGGGCGGA
RNAcentral lists this non-coding RNA (27 nucleotides) under Homo sapiens (human). Lineage: Eukaryota; Metazoa; Chordata; Mammalia; Primates; Hominidae. The record is from RNAcentral.